RNAcentral lists this ribosomal RNA (696 nucleotides) under Triticum aestivum (bread wheat). RNAcentral's name for it is "partial small subunit ribosomal RNA". It matches the Rfam family "Bacterial small subunit ribosomal RNA", at positions 1054 to 1422 of the family's 1533-position model. The record is from RNAcentral. Lineage: Eukaryota; Viridiplantae; Streptophyta; Magnoliopsida; Poales; Poaceae.
GUCAGCUCGUGUCGUGAGAUGUUUGGUCAAGUCCUAUAACGAGCGAAACCCUCGUUUUGUGUUGCUGAGACAUGCGCCUAAGGAGAAAUUGCCACCGAGUGACGUGCCAGCGCUACUACUUGAUUGAGUGCCAGCACGUAGCUGUGCUUUCAGCAAGAAUUUCACCAUUGGGAGCCGGUGCCUUUCGAAGCACUUUCACGUGUGAACCGAAGUCGUCUUGCCCAAGACCCACGGAGACCUACCUAUAGUGACGUCAAAGUACCAGUGAGCAUGGAGGUUUGGUUGAAAUUGGUUACGACGACGUCGAGUUGGCGGCGGAGGAAGACUCGGCAUGAAGGCCAGAAAAUGGUGUGGAACGUAGUGGUAAUAGUACGCGCCCCGCUCCGAAACAAAGAAAAAGGUGCGUGCCGCACUCACGAGGGACUGCCAGUGAGAUACUGGAGGAAGGCGGGGAUGACGUCAAGUCCGCAUGGCCCUUAUGGGCUGGGCCACACACGUGCUACAAUGGCAAUGACAAUGGGAAGCAAGGCUGUAAGGCGGAGCGAAUCCGGAAAGAUUGCCUCAGUUCGGAUUGUUCUCUGCAACUCGGGAACAUGAAGUUGAAAUCGCUAGUAAUCGCGGAUCAGCAUGCCGCGGUGAAUAUGUACCCGGGCCCUGUACACACCGCCCGUCACACCCUGGGAAUUGGUUUCACCC